CCUACGGGAGACAGCAGUGGGGGAUAUUGCACAAUGGGGGAGACCCUGAUGCAGCGACGCCGCGUGAGGGAAGAAGUAUUUCUGGAUGUAAAGCUCUAUCAGCCGGGAAGAAAAUGACAGUACCUGAGCACGACGCCGCGGCUAACUACGUACCAGCCGCCGCGGUACUGCGGAGGGGGCAAGCGUUAUCCGGAUUUACUGGGUGUAAAGGGAGCGUAGAAGGUUAUGUAAGUAUGGAGUGAAAGCCCGGGGCCCCACCCCGGGACUGCUUUGGAAACUGUGUAACUGGAGUACAGGAGGGGCAGGCGGAAUUCCUGGUGUAGCGGUGAAAUGCGUAGAUAUCAGGAGGAACACCGGCGGCGAAGGCGGCUUACUGGACUGUAACUGACGUUGAGGCUCGAAAGCGUGGGGAGCAAACAGGAUUAGAUACCCGUGUAGUC
This 440-nucleotide ribosomal RNA is filed under the name uncultured bacterium. Its description in RNAcentral is "partial 16S ribosomal RNA". It matches the Rfam family "Bacterial small subunit ribosomal RNA", at positions 338 to 795 of the family's 1533-position model. The record is from RNAcentral.